This 645-nucleotide ribosomal RNA is filed under the name Salmonella enterica subsp. enterica serovar Infantis. RNAcentral's name for it is "partial 23S ribosomal RNA". It matches the Rfam family "Bacterial large subunit ribosomal RNA", at positions 2158 to 2802 of the family's 2925-position model. RNAcentral also lists the same sequence under 4 other names. The record is from RNAcentral. Lineage: Bacteria; Pseudomonadati; Pseudomonadota; Gammaproteobacteria; Enterobacterales; Enterobacteriaceae.
UGAAGUGUGGACGCCAGUCUGCAUGGAGCCGACCUUGAAAUACCACCCUUUAAUGUUUGAUGUUCUAACGUGGACCCGUGAUCCGGGUUGCGGACAGUGUCUGGUGGGUAGUUUGACUGGGGCGGUCUCCUCCUAAAGAGUAACGGAGGAGCACGAAGGUUGGCUAAUCCUGGUCGGACAUCAGGAGGUUAGUGCAAUGGCAUAAGCCAGCUUGACUGCGAGCGUGACGGCGCGAGCAGGUGCGAAAGCAGGUCAUAGUGAUCCGGUGGUUCUGAAUGGAAGGGCCAUCGCUCAACGGAUAAAAGGUACUCCGGGGAUAACAGGCUGAUACCGCCCAAGAGUUCAUAUCGACGGCGGUGUUUGGCACCUCGAUGUCGGCUCAUCACAUCCUGGGGCUGAAGUAGGUCCCAAGGGUAUGGCUGUUCGCCAUUUAAAGUGGUACGCGAGCUGGGUUUAGAACGUCGUGAGACAGUUCGGUCCCUAUCUGCCGUGGGCGCUGGAGAACUGAGGGGGGCUGCUCCUAGUACGAGAGGACCGGAGUGGACGCAUCACUGGUGUUCGGGUUGUCAUGCCAAUGGCACUGCCCGGUAGCUAAAUGCGGAAGAGAUAAGUGCUGAAAGCAUCUAAGCACGAAACUUGCCCCGA